Long non-coding RNA from Pristis pectinata (smalltooth sawfish), 528 nucleotides. RefSeq lists it as uncharacterized. Lineage: Eukaryota; Metazoa; Chordata; Chondrichthyes; Rhinopristiformes; Pristidae. The transcript has 3 exons. The record is from RefSeq and is a predicted model, not a curated record.
GCAGGCUCUACCGAAAAGCAUCAGUACCCAAAAACCAGCUCUAAAGAUUGAUAAAGACAACACACAGAUUCUCAGUCAUAGAGGGAUACAGCACGGAAACAGUGACUCCCCCAAGAUUCUGCCAUUCACCUACAGACUAGCGAUGAUUAACCUACCAACUCAGAGGCUUUGUGGUGCGGGAAGAAACAGGAGGAUCAGGAGGAAACCUACAUGGUCACAUGGAGAGCGUGCAAACUCUACACAAGCAGCACCAGAGGAACGUGAGAAGCUGCGGAGAGCAGUGGACUCAGCCCAAUACAUCACGGGCACAUCCCUCUCCACCAUCGGGAGUAUCUACAGGAGGCGCUGCCUCAAGAAGGCAACAUCCAUCGUCAAAGAUCCCCACCAUCUGGGCCGUGCCAUCUUCUUGCAGCUACCAUCGGGCAGGAGGUACAGAAGCCUGAAGUCCCACACCACCAGGUUCAGGAACAGCUACUUCCCUUCAACCAUUCGGUUCUUGAACCAACCGGCACAACCCUAAUCACUACA